RNAcentral lists this ribosomal RNA (750 nucleotides) under Triticum aestivum (bread wheat). Its description in RNAcentral is "partial small subunit ribosomal RNA". Lineage: Eukaryota; Viridiplantae; Streptophyta; Magnoliopsida; Poales; Poaceae. The record is from RNAcentral.
AUGGUAAUACAAGCUAGCAAAGUUUACACACCAUGCAUAUUUGAAGAUUUUCAGAAUGAGUAUGAAAGAUCCAUCUCAGCAUACAUCAAGCCAUCGGAAGAACACAAUGCAUAUACUGUUGCAAUUGCAAGUCUUGACCCAGAAUUCCCAUAUAAAGAAGAGUGCAAAGUACUAGUUGAUUAUGAAGAGCAAAAAGUUUUCUGCAAUUGUGGGCAAUUUGAAAGAGUUGGUAUAUUGUGCAGUCAUGCUUUGAAAGCCCUUGAUGUCAUGAAUAUUAAGUAUCUUCCAGGCCACUAUAUUUUGAAGCGAUGGACUCGAGAAGCGCGAAGCGGCACUAUUGAAAACAGCCAUGGAAACAUUGUUUUGGAAGAUCCUAGAUCAGAAGAUAGACAACAGUUGAAGUUUUUCAUGCACGAGUUCCUUGGCAUAGCUUCACAAGCAGUAACAUCAGAAGAGUGUAUCAAACUAGUAGAUGAUGCUUUGAGGAUUCUUAGGAAGCAAGUUGAAGAGAAAACUCGCACUACUACAUGCAGAACUGAAGAUAUAUCUAAAGAACCAGAGGAUUGUUUAAAGGAUGCUUCCCUAAAGAAAAAGGAAAUUCCGAAGAAAAAUUCAAGAAGAAAGAAAACAUGGCUUGGCAACCAGCACCCCAAUAAAAAGAAGGAGACAACUAUAGCAGUACCGAAAAAUCAAACUCAUUCUGUAAAUCUCUUGCACCUAUCUAACUACACUACUUAUUUAAUAGACUGA